RNAcentral lists this unclassified non-coding RNA (200 nucleotides) under fungal sp. RNAcentral's name for it is "partial internal transcribed spacer region". The stretch from base 1 to 46 matches the Rfam family "Eukaryotic small subunit ribosomal RNA", at positions 1786 to 1831 of the family's 1831-position model. The record is from RNAcentral. Lineage: Eukaryota; Fungi.
AAGUCGUAACAAGGUUUCCGUAGGUGAACCUGCGGAAGGAUCAUUAACACGUAUCCAACGUUAAAACCCCCCGUGAACUUUCAAUCCUGCUCUUGUAACCCGCGUAGUUCGCAAUCUCUGGUAAAUCAUAGCCCGGAAAGUUGUUUUGAUUCAGAGACCUCUGGCUACGUGAGAACAAUGGAACAGAUAUCUUGGUUCUC